GUUAAACCCGUGAAAUUUGAUUGAAUUCUGUAAAUGAUGAAAAUGUUAUUUUUAAACCGAUAGAAUUUGAUUGAAUUAUGUGAAUGAUAAAAAUGUUGUUGUUAAACCCAUGAAAUUUGAAUGAGUUGUUUGUAUAAUGAAAAUGUUGUUGUUAAACCCAUGAAAUUUGAUUGAAUUGUUGGAAUAAUGAAAAUGUUGUUGUUAAACAUAUGAAAUUUGAUUGAAUUGUGUAAAUGAUGAAAAUGUUGAUGUUAAACCCAUGAACUUUGAUUGAAUUGUGGGAAUGAUGAAAAUGUUCCUGUUAAAUCCAUGGAAUUUGAUUGAAUUUUGUGAAUGAUGAAAAUAUUAUCGUUAAACCCAUGAAAUUUGAUUGAGUUGUGUGAACGAUAAAAAUGUUGUUCUUAAACCCAUGAAAU
RNAcentral lists this long non-coding RNA (416 nucleotides) under Lathyrus oleraceus (garden pea). Its description in RNAcentral is "Pisum sativum (pea) long non-coding RNA (PSAT_LNC039440)". Lineage: Eukaryota; Viridiplantae; Streptophyta; Magnoliopsida; Fabales; Fabaceae. The record is from RNAcentral.